Regulatory RNA element from Firmicutes bacterium CAG:114, 132 nucleotides. It matches the Rfam family "FMN riboswitch aptamer (RFN element)". Rfam says of the family: The RFN element is a highly conserved domain that is found frequently in the 5'-untranslated regions of prokaryotic mRNAs that encode for flavin mononucleotide (FMN) biosynthesis and transport proteins. This element is a metabolite-dependent riboswitch that directly binds FMN in the absence of proteins. In Bacillus subtilis, the riboswitch most likely controls gene expression by causing premature transcription termination within the 5' untranslated region of the ribDEAHT operon and precluding access to the ribosome-binding site of ypaA mRNA. Lineage: Bacteria; Bacillati; Bacillota. The record is from Rfam.
AGAUGUCUUCAGGGCGGGGUGAAAGUCCCCACCGGCGGUAAAGUCCGCGAGCCCCUUGGCCACAGGCCCAGGAGAGCCGACCCGGUGCAAUUCCGGGACCGACAGUGACAGUCUGGAUGGGAGAAGACGUGC